Molecule: unclassified non-coding RNA, 333 nt
Filed under: soil metagenome
Description: partial contains 5.8S ribosomal RNA, internal transcribed spacer 2, and large subunit ribosomal RNA
Rfam family: 5.8S ribosomal RNA (bases 3-120)
Source: RNAcentral
GGUGAAGAACGUAGCAAAAUGCGAUAAGUAAUGUGAAUUGCAGAAUUCAGUGAAUCAUCGAAUCUUUGAACGCACAUUGCGCCCGCCAGUAUUCUGGCGGGCAUGCCUGUUCGAGCGUCAUUUCAACCCUCAAGCUCAGCUUGGUGUUGGGACUCGCGGUAACCCGCGUUCCCCAAAUCGAUUGGCGGUCACGUCGAGCUUCCAUAGCGUAGUAAUCAUACACCUCGUUACUGGUAAUCGUCGCGGCCACGCCGUAAAACCCCAACUUCUGAAUGUUGACCUCGGAUCAGGUAGGAAUACCCGCUGAACUUAAGCAUAUCAAUAAGCGGAGGA